AGUAACGGCGAGUGAACAGGGAAAAGCCCAAAUUUGUAAUCUGGCACUUUUUACAAGUGUCCGAGUUGUAAUUUGUAGAGCUGUUAUCCGUACUGGACCAUGUACAAGUCUGUUGAAAAGCAGCAUCAUUGAAGGUGAAAAUCCUGUAGAUGAUAUGGACUACCAGUAUAUUUGUGAUACGGUUUCUAAGAGUCGAGUUGUUUGGGAAUGCAGCUCAAAGUGGGUGGUAAAUUCCAUCUAAGGCUAAAUAUAAGUGAGAGACCGAUAGCAAACAAGUACCGUGAGGGAAAGAUGAAAAGAACUUUGAAAAUAGAGUUAACAGUACGUGAAAUUGCUGAAAGGGAAACGUUUGAAGUUAGUUUUGUAUUCGUUGGAUCAGCUUCGCAAGGAGUGUAUUCUGAUGAUAAGCAAGUCAACAUCAGUCUAUGAGUGUUGGAUAAGGGUUUUGAGAAUGUAGCAAUUUAAUUGUGUUAUAGCUUGAGACUUGGAUACGAUGCUUUGGAUUGAGGAACGCGUAGUAAGCUUUGAGCGGAUUCGAAAGGAUCUCCUUACUAUGGAUGUUG
Molecule: ribosomal RNA, 563 nt
Filed under: Melampsora ribesii-viminalis
Lineage: Eukaryota; Fungi; Basidiomycota; Pucciniomycetes; Pucciniales; Melampsoraceae
Description: partial large subunit ribosomal RNA
Rfam family: Eukaryotic large subunit ribosomal RNA
Source: RNAcentral